Molecule: non-coding RNA, 1172 nt
Organism: Phoenix dactylifera (date palm)
Lineage: Eukaryota; Viridiplantae; Streptophyta; Magnoliopsida; Arecales; Arecaceae
Source: RefSeq, a predicted model, not a curated record
CGCCUCGUUGCCACUCUUGCCUCCCCACUUAUUCCCUCGAACCUCUAUUUGCUCCCGGCUCUCUUCGCGUCGCCCUCUGCCUGCUCUUCGACCUCUCCUCGGAUCCGGGGCUCUUCGAUCAUUGCGUAGCCUUCAAUUUCCAGCUUAACAUCAUUGAAAUAGAAGCAGAAGCAAAGUGAUGGCUACACUGGUUUCCCUAUGCGCUUCUAAUCUUCUUACUGUAAGAAAUAAAAGCACGCGUAGGUAUAUCGGACUGAGGCCGGUAAUUCAACUCAGAUGCUCACCUCUAUCUCUUAGUCAUACAAGAAGCCAAAGUCAUCUUGGUCGGCAAUCAAGCAUACUGCUACAUAGGCUUGUUGUGUUGGCUAUUACUAAAGGUUCUACAAAAUCAAGCCAAUCUGAUGAAAAGAUUCCCUCUUGGGCUAGACCUGAUUCUGAUGAACCUCCUCCUUGGGCUCGGGAUGAAGGCAAUGACAGCACUUCUCCACAAACAAUAGCGAUACCCUUUUAUGUUUAUUUAGUUGCAUCAGCUGUGACGGCUAUAGCAGCAGUAGGUUCUGUGUUUGAAUAUGUUAAUCAGAAACCUGUUUUUGGGGUCCUGAGCUCUGACAGCGUGUUUUAUGCACCAUUGCUUGGAUUCUUUGCUUUUACUGGAAUACCCACAUCAGCCUUCUUGUGGUUUAAAUCUGUACAAGCUGCCAAUAAAGCAUCUGAGGAGCAGGACCGCCGAGAUGGCUAUCGUUAAUACUAAUGAUGAAGCAGCUUUUUUCCAUGAUCUUACACAUUAAAAGAAAAUUAUACCUGUUCUAUGCAACUCCUAGUGGCAUAGAUGUGAUGAGAAUCUGUGCGCUGUGAAAACUGGGUAAAGAGAUGUGUGACUUUCUCAUCUGCAUGCCUCUUGACCCUGUUGAUCAGAUGGAAGAAGAAGAAGGAUUCUUGAGUUCUCCUUGUUGAAGCUUAUAAUUUUGAAGGCUUCUCUGGAUUUGUUCUAAGUUCUAAUGAUGAUCUAGAGUUUCUUUAAUCUUCUCAUGGUAAAACUACCUUCUCUGCCUUCGUUGUCUUGUUUGCUUUCAUGUUUUUAUGCUCUUCGUUGCUAUAAAUUUGUCAAUGUCGCAUUUGAAUAGACAACAAAUUAUUGAAACUACUUCUCAAAAGCGUAGCAGAGAACUCUA